ACCUUUGCAUUCUUUUUCGUCAGACAUUUGUUUCAUUAGAGCAUUUCGUUACAUGUUGCACGUUUACAUAAUAAGUAAACCAAGCCAAAUGUUGGUUAAUUCUCAUCUUUCAACACUUUGCCAAGGAACAGACAUAAUUUUUAUUCUGGCAUACCUUUUAUUUUAUUUUUUUCUUUUUUUUACAGGCUAUGAAGGAAAUAGCGCUGAUGAGAAAUAAGAAGGAAGAAGUCGCAAACUGACCAUCCCUUCCUCUUCUAGAUUACCGUAAUUUAUGCAGAGAUCGUUGAUCUACAGCACUUGGGGUAGAGCCUUAUCUUUUAGCAUCAAUCCACUAAUGGUAAGAUUUCAUUCACGCA
Long non-coding RNA from Bactrocera dorsalis (oriental fruit fly), 356 nucleotides. RefSeq lists it as uncharacterized. The record is from RefSeq and is a predicted model, not a curated record. The transcript is spliced from 2 exons. Lineage: Eukaryota; Metazoa; Arthropoda; Insecta; Diptera; Tephritidae.